AGAGAGAGACAUGCGCGCAUAUCAAUAAGCGGAGGAAAAGAAACUAACAAGGAUUCCCUUAGUAACGGCGAGUGAAGCGGGAAGAGCUCAAAUUUGAAAUCUUCAAGGUUUUACCUUGACGAAUUGUAGUUUAAAGAAGUGUUUUCUGCUGAAGUUUUGGUAAAAGUUCUUUGGAAUAGGACAUCAUAGAGGGUGAGAAUCCUGUAUUUGACCAUUAUUUUCAGCUUUGUGAUACACUUUCAAAGAGUCGGAUUGUUUGGGAAUGCAGUCCAAAAUGGGUGGUAAAUUUCAUCUAAAGCUAAAUAUUGGCGAGAGACCGAUAGCGAACAAGUACCGUGAGGGAAAGAUGAAAAGAACUUUGAAAAGAGAGUUAAACAGUACGUGAAAUUGUCAAAAGGGAAGCGUUUGACACCAGUGUUGUUUUCUCGAAAAUCAAUUAAAAAUGGCUCGAUUUUGUAUUGCUUGAGACCUUAAAAGCUCACUGUACAUUUUUCGUGUCUUUUUUAAUGCACUUUUCGUUUAACAAGUCAACAUCAGUUUCUUUUGUUGUAAAAAGGGUCAUUGGAAGGUGGCUUUCUUUUCGGAGAAAGUGUUUAUAGCCUUUGGCCUCUGCAAUCGAAGGAGACUGAGGUCUGCAGCGUAGACUCUUCGGGGUUAGAUACAUUUGUGCUAAGUUAUAGCUUUUUAUAGACAACUUGUUGACUAUAAUUAGUCUUGUAGCUUACUCGCUUAUGCUAUUUUACCUACGCUUAGGAUGUUGAAGAUGUAGCACAUCA
Molecule: ribosomal RNA, 776 nt
Filed under: uncultured Neocallimastigales
Lineage: Eukaryota; Fungi; Neocallimastigomycota; Neocallimastigomycetes; Neocallimastigales
Description: partial large subunit ribosomal RNA
Rfam family: Eukaryotic large subunit ribosomal RNA
Source: RNAcentral